GACGAACGCUGGCGGCGUGCUUAACACAUGCAAGUCGAACGCUGAAGCUUGGUGCUUGCACUGGGUGGAUGAGUGGCGAACGGGUGAGUAAUAAGUGAGUAACCUGCCCUUGACUCUGGGAUAAGCCUGGGAAACUGGGUCUAAUACUGGAUACGACAUGUCACCGCAUGGUGGUGUGUGGAAAGGGUUUUACUGGUUUUGGAUGGGCUCACGGCCUAUCAGCUUGUUGGUGGGGUAAUGGCCCACCAAGGCGACGACGGGUAGCCGGCCUGAGAGGGUGACCGGCCACACUGGGACUGAGACACGGCCCAGACUCCUACGGGAGGCAGCAGUGGGGAAUUUUGCACAAUGGGCGGAAGCCUGAUGCAGCGACGCCGCGUGAGGGAUGACGGCCUUCGGGUUGUAAACCUCUUUCAGCACGGAAGAAGCGAAAGUGACGGUACGUGCAGAAGAAGCGCCGGCUAACUACGUG
This 472-nucleotide ribosomal RNA is filed under the name uncultured bacterium. Its description in RNAcentral is "partial 16S ribosomal RNA". It matches the Rfam family "Bacterial small subunit ribosomal RNA", at positions 28 to 507 of the family's 1533-position model. The record is from RNAcentral.